RNAcentral lists this long non-coding RNA (291 nucleotides) under Sarcophilus harrisii (Tasmanian devil). RNAcentral describes it as "lncRNA (ENSSHAG00000026910.1)". Lineage: Eukaryota; Metazoa; Chordata; Mammalia; Dasyuromorphia; Dasyuridae. The record is from RNAcentral.
AAAUAUAUAUUAUAUAUAUGAAAUUUAACACUGGAGAUGAAAAAAAAGAAAAGAGAAAGUAGCUAGUUUGAAUAAAAAGUUAAGGGAAGAUUUUUUUUUCUUUUAGGAUUUAGGACACCUGAGCACAUUUGUUAGGUUUAUGGGGAAAAAAAUCACUGGAAAGUAAUUGAUGGAUUUGCAUGAAAGAGAGGAAAAAAUGGAAGGAGUCAAGUUUUGGAAGGCCAGAGGGGAUGGAAUGAACAGUAAAGAUGUAUGGAAAGUUGCAUAUUCUCUCUCCAUCUUGAGCCAAGG